RNAcentral lists this ribosomal RNA (372 nucleotides) under uncultured organism. RNAcentral's name for it is "partial 16S ribosomal RNA". It matches the Rfam family "Bacterial small subunit ribosomal RNA", at positions 527 to 897 of the family's 1533-position model. The record is from RNAcentral.
GAACCGUCCAAACGUUAUUCGGAAUCACUGGGCUUAAAGGGUACGUAGGCGGGCUUGGAAAGUUGGGGUGUGAAAUCCCUCGGGCUCAACCGAGGAACUGCACUCAAAACUGCCAGGCUUGAGGGAGACAGAGGUGAGCGGAACUCAGGGUGGAGCGGUGGAAUGCGUUGAUAUCCUGGGGAACACCAGUUGCGAAGGCGGCUCACUGGGUCUCUUCUGACGCUGAGGUACGAAAGCUAGGGGAGCGAACGGGAUUAGAUACCCCGGUAGUCCUAGCUGUAAACGUUGAGCACUGGAUCGGAGGAUUUCGGUUUUCCGGUCGUAGCGAAAGUGUUAAGUGCUCCGCCUGGGGAGUAUGGUCGCAAAGGCUGA